GCAGUCUGCUAAUGUACUCUCUAAAAAUUUCAGAAACUUCAUCAAACGAUUAACUAGCAAAUCCUCAUCUGAUUGGAACAGUAAAAUUGUUCAGCAUCCCAGACAAAGUGAUGGCCACAACUGCGGACCACUCAUCUUAAAGAAAGCGUGGAGGACUAGUGCAUAUACUACAACCUUAUCAACUGUGAAAAAGAAAGUGAGGAUUGCACGAUGGAGCCAUGGCCUCGGCUGCUGCCACCAGCGACCUUCUGAAAAGCCUGCCACCAGCGACCUUCUGAAAAGCCUCCGGGACACAGUAAAUUGCUCAGUCUGCCAGGAUAUUUUUAAAGAUCCAGUGACCCUGGACUGUGGGCACAAUUUCUGCCACUCCUGCAUCGCCCAGCGCUGGGAGGGAUUGAAGAGAGACUUCCCCUGCCCUCAGUGCAGGAAAAGGUUUCGGAAGGGAAAUAUCCGGCCUAAUCCCCAGCUGGAAGCAAUAGCCAAGCAAGUCAGGCCUAACCCCCAGCAGGAAGAAAUAGCCAAGCAAGUCAGCGCUCCCGCUGUGAAAGGGUGAGAGGGAGAGAAACUGUGUGAGGAACACAAGAAACCCUUAAGCUGUACUGUGAGCAUCAUAACAAACUCAUUUGUGAGGACUGUGAUAUAUCCUUUGAGCACCGCUACCAUGACGUGCUUCCCGUAGAGGAUGUGGUCCAGUCAUCGAAGGUGGGAAAUCUGAGAGUCAUUCGUGUUAGAUUAAGUGAAAUGGCAGUGAUAAAACCCCACGAUAAGCCGCCCUCCUCCUCCUGCUUCGGAGAAAGUGUCGGUCUAGCCUCAGGACUUCCAGAUCCCAAGGGAGACAGAGGCUGUCCAACAAGAAGAGCCCUCGACUGACCCGCUUGUCCCAGGUCUCUCCUCAUCCUCCUCCCCUGACAAGGCGGUAGCCGGAACGUCGUCUGUAGGCCCUCCACCAAUCGACCUGAGGGCCCACCAGGAACUCCUCCGGCAUGUGGCACAGAAUAUGAACUUGCAAGUCGAGGAGGUCCCGGAGGUAGAGGACCCAGUGGUGGACAUCUUAUCAUCUGAUGCCCCCACGAGAGUGGCCCUCCCCUUUAUACGGACAAUCCAGGCCAACGCCAACACGAUCUGGCAGUCUCCGGCCUCUGUCCCACCUGCUGCCCGCAGAGUGGAACAUAAACAUACGGUGCCUCCCAAGGGCUAUGAAUACUUAUACGUCCAUCCCCCUCCUUGCUCCCUCGUUGUCCAGUCGGUCAACGAGAGCGCGCGCCAUGGCCAGCAGGCUCCAGCCCCGAAAUCAAAAGACGCGAGGCGCAUGGACUUGCUGGUGCGCAAAGUCUAUUCUGCAGGGGCACUCCAACUCCGCGUGGCUAAUCAACAAGCCCUCCUUAGACGCUACAACUAUAAUACCUGGGCAGCGGCGGACAAAUUCAAGGAAUUGCUCCCGCAGGACUCCUGACAGGAAUUUGCGGCCAUCCUGGACGAGGGAAAAAGGGUCGCUAGAACUUCCCUCCAGGCUUCCCUGGACGCCGCGGACUCAGCGGCCAGGACCCUAGCCUCCGGGGUUACUAUGAGGCGUAUCUCAUGGCUGCAAGUCUCAGGCCUCCCCACGGCGCUCCAACACAAAAUCCAGGACCUCCCCUUUGAAGGGCAAGGCCUGUUGUCUGAUAAGACAGACCCUAGGCUGCAAAGCCUAAAAGAUAACAGGGUCAUUAGGCGCUCACUAGGCAUGCACACGCCAGUGACUCAGUGCAGGCCCUUCCGCCCCCAGCCACACCGCUCUUACCCUCAGCCCAGACAGAGACAGGACUUUGCCAGAAGGCGGAGUAGAACCGGUCACCGGAGGCAGUCAAGCAACCAAGGGGGCAGAACCAAGGUUCCUCCAAACCUUCCACAGGGCCAAAACCCUCCUUUUGAAGGUGCGCCCGAGGGCAUCAUACCAGUAUCAUCACAGGAUCCGUUCCCUCCUUUCUCCAACCGCCUCUCCUUUUUCCUCCCUGCGUGGUCCCAGCUAACGUCAGAUCGCUGGGUCUUACGCAAGCUGGAAUUUGAGUACCACCUCCAAUUUAUUUCGUGCCCCCCCUUCCACCCCCCUUCCUCCUCCCUCUUGCAGAAACAUAUUUGCAGCACAAAGACAUCAAUACGGUAGAAACAACACAAGAGGCUAAUACUACGUUUAGAAGACAUAUAGCAAUUCUUCUAAUGAAGGAGUCAGGUAAUUACUUUCUACCAUGUCUUGUGGACUCAUUAGGCACAUGUGAAGAUAACAUGAAGAGUGGAAUUCUGUCACAUA
Long non-coding RNA from Mauremys mutica (yellowpond turtle), 2287 nucleotides. RefSeq lists it as uncharacterized. Lineage: Eukaryota; Metazoa; Chordata; Testudines; Geoemydidae. The record is from RefSeq and is a predicted model, not a curated record. The transcript is spliced from 3 exons.